This 434-nucleotide ribosomal RNA is filed under the name uncultured bacterium. RNAcentral describes it as "partial 16S ribosomal RNA". It matches the Rfam family "Bacterial small subunit ribosomal RNA", at positions 29 to 507 of the family's 1533-position model. The record is from RNAcentral.
AGCGAACGCUGGCGGCAGGCCUAACACAUGCAAGUCGAACGAACCUUUCGGGGUUAGUGGCGGACGGGUGAGUAACACGUGGGAACGUGCCUUUAGGUUCGGAAUAACUCAGGGAAACUUGUGCUAAUACCGAAUGUGCCCUUCGGGGGAAAGAUUAAUCGCCUUUAGAGCGGCCCGCGUCUGAUUAGCUAGUUGGAUGAGGUAAUGGCUCACCAAGGCGACGAUCAGUAGCUGGUCUGAGAGGAUGAUCAGCCACAUUGGGACUGAGACACGGCCCAAACUCCUACGGGAGGCAGCAGUGGGGAAUCUUGCGCAAUGGGCGAAAGCCUGACGCAGCCAUGCCGCGUGAAUGAUGAAGGUCUUAGGAUUGUAAAAUUCUUUCACCGGGGACGAUAAUGACGGUACCCGGAGAAGAAGCCCCGGCUAACUUCGUG